GGAAUUUCUCCCUGGUGCGGAGGGUCCGGGAAUCGGGCCGGGGAUCUUCGGACCCCGCCCAGCUCUCGACUGGGCCCGACGCCGCGUGCACUUUCCGCGGGCAGAGCGCCACGACCGGUUUCGCGGCGGCGAUAAGCCCGUUGCGGAUGCGUGGCACGAUCUCACGGUCGUGCUACGGCCGCUCGCGGUGAGCCGCUGUCGGGACCGAGGGACGGCCGCGUGCUUCGAGGCUGCCCGGCCUCGCUGGGGAGUUCGACUGGCAGGGACUGGGUAACCGUGCCUGCCGACUGCUCCCCGGUGCCGGUUCGGGACAGCCGGGCGCGUC
RNAcentral lists this ribosomal RNA (325 nucleotides) under Radix cf. plicatula TS-2021 Clade II. Its description in RNAcentral is "partial 28S ribosomal RNA". Lineage: Eukaryota; Metazoa; Mollusca; Gastropoda; Lymnaeidae. The record is from RNAcentral.